GAUGAACGCUGGCGGCGUGCCUAAUACAUGCAGGUCGAGCGAACAGACGAGGAGCUUGCUCCUCUGACGUUAGCGGCGGACGGGUGAGUAACACGUGGAUAACCUACCUAUAAGACUGGGAUAACUUCGGGAAACCGGAGCUAAUACCGGAUAAUAUAUUGAACCGCAUGGUUCAAUAGUGAAAGACGGUUUUGCUGUCACUUAUAGAUGGAUCCGCGCCGCAUUAGCUAGUUGGUAAGGUAACGGCUUACCAAGGCGACGAUGCGUAGCCGACCUGAGAGGGUGAUCGGCCACACUGGAACUGAGACACGGUCCAGACUCCUACGGGAGGCAGCAGUAGGGAAUCUUCCGCAAUGGGCGAAAGCCUGACGGAGCAACGCCGCGUGAGUGAUGAAGGUCUUCGGAUCGUAAAACUCUGUUAUUAGGGAAGAACAAAUGUGUAAGUAACUAUGCACGUAUUGACGGUACCUAAUCAGAAAGCAACGGCUAACUACGUG
Molecule: ribosomal RNA, 497 nt
Filed under: uncultured bacterium
Lineage: Bacteria
Description: partial 16S ribosomal RNA
Rfam family: Bacterial small subunit ribosomal RNA
Source: RNAcentral